Molecule: ribosomal RNA, 235 nt
Filed under: uncultured bacterium
Lineage: Bacteria
Description: partial 16S ribosomal RNA
Rfam family: Bacterial small subunit ribosomal RNA
Source: RNAcentral
UGAGCAAUCUGCCCUUCUCAUCGGAAUAAGCGUUGGAAACGACGUCUAAUGCCGAAUACGACCUCCUUUCGCAUGGAUCGGAGGUGGAAAGCUCCGGCGGAGAAGGAUGAGCUCGCGGCCUAUCAGCUAGUUGGUGUGGGUAAUGGCCCACCAAGGCGACGACGGGUAGCCGGCCUGAGAGGGUGACCGGCCACACUGGGACUGAGACACGGCCCAGACCUCCGUACGGGAGCAG